Molecule: transfer RNA, 90 nt
Filed under: Cryptococcus depauperatus
Lineage: Eukaryota; Fungi; Basidiomycota; Tremellomycetes; Tremellales; Cryptococcaceae
Also listed under: 1 other name
Description: tRNA-Phe
Rfam family: tRNA
About the family: Transfer RNA (tRNA) molecules are approximately 80 nucleotides in length. Their secondary structure includes four short double-helical elements and three loops (D, anti-codon, and T loops). Further hydrogen bonds mediate the characteristic L-shaped molecular structure. tRNAs have two regions of fundamental functional importance: the anti-codon, which is responsible for specific mRNA codon recognition, and the 3' end, to which the tRNAs corresponding amino acid is attached (by aminoacyl-tRNA synthetases). tRNAs cope with the degeneracy of the genetic code in two manners: having more than one tRNA (with a specific anti-codon) for a particular amino acid; and 'wobble' base-pairing, i.e. permitting non-standard base-pairing at the 3rd anti-codon position.
Source: RNAcentral
GGCGACAUAGCUCAGUUGGGAGAGCGCACGACUGAAGUUUUGAAAAGAGACCCAAUCGUGCGGUCCCUGGUUCGAUCCCGGGUGGCGCCA